AGGACAAACGCUGGCGGCGUGCCUAAGACAUGCAAGUCGAACGGAAGGCUUCGGCCUUGAGUGGCGGACGGGUGAGGAGCGCGUGGAGAACCUGCCCCGGGGUGGGGGAUAACAGUCGGAAACGAUUGCUAAGACCGCAUACGACCAUUCGUUGCAGGAUGAAUGGGGAAAGCAGCGAUGUGCCCUGGGAGGGCUCCGCGUCGGAUUAGCUAGUUGGUGGGGUAACGGCCUACCAAGGCUGCGAUCCGUAGCUGGUCUGAGAGGACGGCCAGCCACACUGGGACUGAGACACGGCCCAGACUCCUACGGGAGGCAGCAGUUAGGGAAUUUUGUCAAUGGGCGAAAGCCUGAACGAGUGACGCCGCGUGCGGGAUGACGCCGUUUCGGGGUGUAAACCGCUUUUCCCAAGGACGAGGAUGGACGGUACUUGGGGAAUAAGUCUCGGCUAACUACGCGCCAGCAGCCGC
Molecule: ribosomal RNA, 467 nt
Filed under: uncultured bacterium
Lineage: Bacteria
Description: SSU rRNA
Rfam family: Bacterial small subunit ribosomal RNA
Source: RNAcentral